Long non-coding RNA from Pongo abelii (Sumatran orangutan), 2453 nucleotides. The record is from Ensembl. NCBI's taxonomy places the organism in Eukaryota, Metazoa, Chordata, Mammalia, Primates, Hominidae.
CUAUUUGCGUUAGUCCUGUAUAUUCAGUGAAUGUGAGGUCAUAUUUGGUAUCGUAUUAGAAGUAGUGUUGGUCACUGGUCUUGCCUCUUUGAACAUUAUUUUCAUUUGUAAAAUGAGGGAGUUGGUUUGUUAUGAUGGGAAAUGAGUCAGUUUUCAGGGUCCUGAGAAAGCUGCUUCAUUCAUGGCUGUGUUUGGGAUAACUAAGGUAAUUUUUUUUUUCAGGUAUUUGGUGUCAUGUUUUGGAGUUAAUAUUUCGUGCUUAUAUAAUUUUUAAGUUAUUACAUAAUUUUUAUUGGUAUAUAUUUUGUAGGUACUAGGUAUUGGAUUCUCACCAAACCAGUAGAAUGGUAUUCUCUCUUAAUAUGUCAUUGCCUGUAAUGGCCAGGUAGAUAUACCUUAAAGUAAUAUGAAAGGUUUUAUAUGUAUAUUAAAAUGUUUAUACUUUUAAAUCUGUAAAAGUUAUCUGGAAUUUUUACUGUGUUAACUUCAGAAUUAUAUGGGCAUUAUGACUUUUUCAUUGUACAAAAAAAAUUAUUCAUAAAUGUUGAAAUACAGGUGUUCCUUGACUUACGAUAGGGUUAUGUUCCAGUAGACCCAUUGUAAAUUGAAAAUACCGUAAGUUGAAAAUACAUUUAAUACGCCUAACCUAUUGAACAUCCCAGCUUAGCCUACCUAUCUUAAAUGUGUUCUGAACACUUAAUAUUGGCCUUUAGCCAGGCAAAAUCAUCUAAUACAAAACCUAUUUUAUAAUGAAGUGUUUAAUAUCUCAAAUAAGAGUAUUGUACCACAUAUCGUUAGCCCAGGAUAAUAUCAGAAUACGAAAUUUGAAGUACAAUUUUUAACUGAAUGUGUAUUGCUUUUGCCCCAUUAUAAAGUUGAAAAACCAUAAGUCAAACCAUUUUUAAGUCGGACUGUUUGUGUUACAUAUAUUUAGUGGCCCUUUUUAAAAAGCUGUUUCUUAUUUCUGAUCAUUGUGAGGGGGGAUAGAUGUGGGAAGAAUCAUGUCUCUACUAAAAAUACAAAAAAUAGCCAGGCUUGUUGGCACACACCUAUAGUCCCGGCUACUCGGGAGACUGAGGCAGGAGAAUUGCUUGAACCGGGAGGCAGAGGGCAGAUCAUGCCACUAUUCCAGCCUGGGCAACAGAGUAAGACUCUAUCUCAAAAAUGAAUGAAUUUUCGAGACUGUCUCAAAAAUGAAUGAAUGAAUGAAUGAAUGAAUGUGCUAUGAGCUGAUACUGGGAUUUCAGGUACCACAGUUUGUGCUGAAUGAUAUGUUUGGGGUAAAUCAGUUUUUUUCUUACAGAAUUUCGGUGUUUUUGCUGCACCUACCACUAAUUUUGCAUUUAAAAGAACAAAAGAGGAAUGUAUUUUUCAAAGGAGUCAAUGAGGUUAAAAUCAAGAUUUUGAAUGGUAUAAAUAGCAACUAAUUCAGUUGUAGGAUAUUACUGAGUUUUUUAUUUCUAAAUAUGUUUCUUUAAUACAUUGCAGUGCUUACAGUUCCAACAGCUUUCCAAGAAAACAUUUCCAUGUUUGUGUUAUUUGUAAAGUAUACAUAAAUAAUGUAAAAUAAUUUGGGAUUAUCUCAACUUUAUAUUGUAUGUCUGAAUUUCAUCGAUGUUGUACCUGGCUCAGUCAAUAGUUGUCACAGGUAUUAAGCCAUUUUGGAAUUUGCCACUUUUUUCUGGGUAACCUGUUUUAGUUUAGUUUACAGCACUUAGAAAUAGAAGGUAACUUUAUAGAAGUAACACCGGUAUCCUAGUCUGCUUGCCCCGAAUAUAAUUAAUAGUAUUAGGAUGUAAGUGAUGUUAAGAUGGUUUUUACUAUUUUUUGUACACUGUGUGCUUUUACUUUUUAUUUAAACUACAGCGAAAAACUGAUUUUUUAACUAAAAUUGAAUGGCGUUUAUCUUAAUGACCAGUUAUUGACCAAAUCGUACUCAGAAGAUGUUAUUAUGUCCCAAUCUAAGGAAUCCUUUAAUUUGGGGAUUAAUUUUACUUACACAUGCCAUUUCAGUUUAAGUUGCCUCAUUCUAUUACAUCAUUCUUGUCAAGUCUAAGCUUUAUCAUGUCUGAAUUAACACUGAAUCUGUGAUGUAAAAAUGUAUGAUGUGCCAUAAAUUUUAUUCAUAAUAAACUAAGUUAUAGCCUAUUGUAAUCUGUAAAACAUUUCUUGUAAAUUACCUAAUUUAUUUUUUCAUUUAUGUACAGUAUCUUAUGUAAAUUUGAAAAAUGUUUGCCAUGGCGCAUUCUGUAAACAUUCCCGUAUUCUUUUCCUUAAUGCUUAUUUGCAUGAAGGUAACUUGGGUUUUGCUUGUUUGUAUUGGAUAACCAUUAAGCCAACUUCAGUUUCUCUGCCUUUUUUUCUGUAGUUUAACCAUUUCUAAUUUUGUUCAUAUUCUAAAUAGAUGUUCGAAUCAUACUUUUUAUUUUCUACUUUCUAAAUAAAUUAUCUAA